AAGUCGUAACAAGGUUUCCGUGCGGAAGGAUCAUUAACACGUAUCCAACGUUAAAACAACCCCGUGAACUUUCAGCUUGCUCCUGUAGCCCGUGAAAGCAGCAAUCCCUGGUAAAUCAUUGUUAUAGCUACGGUUGAGCGAUUGCAUCUAGUGACCUGGCAUCCCCAAGUAAUCAGUGUUCUGAAAGUGUCAUUGAUUGUGUAAGGAUGGCGCAGUCACGAUCGCUGUAGGCCCACACGGCCGGCGACCGGGUCACCGGGCUCUGCUCCUUUACGACAACUACAGUCUAACUUCGCCGCGCGUGAAAUUCGCACGGCACCAAAAACCGAACAACUGUUAACAAUGGAUAUCUUGGUUCUC
RNAcentral lists this unclassified non-coding RNA (360 nucleotides) under fungal sp. Its description in RNAcentral is "partial internal transcribed spacer region". The record is from RNAcentral. Lineage: Eukaryota; Fungi.